UACGUAGGGGGCUAGCGUUGUCCGGAAUCAUUGGGCGUAAAGCGCGUGUAGGCGGUCCGGUAAGUCCGCUGUGAAAGUCGAGGGCUCAACCCUCGAAUGCCGGUGGAUACUGUCGGGCUUGAGUACGGGAGAGGCGAGUGGAAUUCCUGGUGUAGCGGUGAAAUGCGCAGAUAUCAGGAGGAACACCGAUGGCGAAGGCAGCUCACUGGGACGGUACUGACGCUGAGGCGCGAAAGCGUGGGGAGCAAACAGG
This 253-nucleotide ribosomal RNA is filed under the name uncultured bacterium. RNAcentral describes it as "partial 16S ribosomal RNA". It matches the Rfam family "Bacterial small subunit ribosomal RNA", at positions 524 to 776 of the family's 1533-position model. The record is from RNAcentral.